GUGGGGAAUAUUCCGCAAUGGACAAAAGUCUGACGGAGCAACGCCGCGUGAGUGAUGAAGGUUUUCGGACUGUAAAGCUCUGUUGUUUAGGACGAAAGUGCCUGUUGCGAACAGUUACAGGUAUUGACGGUACUAAACGAGGAAGCCACGGCUAACUACGUGCCAGCAGCCGCGGUAAUACGUAGGUGGCAAGCGUUGUCCGGAAUUAUUGGGCGUAAAGAGCAUGUAGGCGGAGAUUUAAGUCUGUUGUGAAAAUGCGGGGCUCAACCCCGUAUUGCGAUGGAAACUGAAUUGCUUGAGUGCAGGAGAGGAAAGGGGAAUUCCCAGUGUAGCGGUGAAAUGCGUAGAUAUUAGGAGGAACACCAGUGGCGAAGGCGGCUUUCUGGACUGUAACUGACACUGAGGCACGAAAGCGUGGGGAGCAAACAGGAUUAGAUACCCGGGUAGUCC
RNAcentral lists this ribosomal RNA (450 nucleotides) under uncultured bacterium. Its description in RNAcentral is "partial 16S ribosomal RNA". It matches the Rfam family "Bacterial small subunit ribosomal RNA", at positions 354 to 796 of the family's 1533-position model. The record is from RNAcentral.